Molecule: long non-coding RNA, 36489 nt
Filed under: Populus trichocarpa (black cottonwood)
Lineage: Eukaryota; Viridiplantae; Streptophyta; Magnoliopsida; Malpighiales; Salicaceae
Description: long non-coding RNA (PTRI_LNC004368)
Source: RNAcentral
AAAACCCCACAGGAGCAUGCAAGCCUUGAACAUACGAAUGCACACACUUGCCUUCUUUAUCUCCUCAGCAAGGACAACAGAAGGGAAAUCAAGCAAGCGAACUAGAGCUUUUGAAAGAAGUCGUAAAUGUGCUUACUGAUCUCUUCAGGUUUCUCUUCAUUGAUAAAAUGACCCACACCUUCCAUUACAACUAGGUCAUGUAGAAAUGGAACGUCUCUUUUGAACCCGCCCUUGGCUAUAUGAUCCUUGGCACCGAGAGAAUUAUAGGUGAGGUCCUGAUCACCCACGAUAAACUUGACUGGAACUUUUAUUUGAGCUCCAGUCCAUGGUGCGGUAAGUUCCCAGUUCCUGCAACAUGGAAGGUAAGAGGAAUUAGGAAAAAAAUUGAAGCAGGAAUGAUGAUGGGGAAAAAAGGAAAUAAAACUUGUACACCGAUCAGGAAAGCAACAAAAGCAAAGGUCUUCAUUUCAAGAGCUAUAUAGCAUGCUGAAAUAUUAAGACUCCUGGGUAUGGAUUUCAAUUCAAUUUCUUAAUGAAAGAUAAUAAAGUCCCUCUGUCCCGAUCAAUACGCAACAGCGACAUAAUACGCAACAGCGAUGUAAAGGUAACGAAAACCCCAAAAUACAACAGAGGUUGGAGACACAUCUAAAUUUCCAGGCCACAGGAAAUUUUUAGUCUGCAUUACCAGGAAAGACCAACAAACUGAACAAACAUGGAAGGAAGACAUACCGGUCAAGAUUUCGGUAAUAGUUCAAUCCUCCAGUAAAGCCUUUCUGCUCAUACUUGCUGGAGUAGUACUUGACAUCUUCUUCAGACAACCAAGAGGGUAAGACAACUGGAGUGUCCAGAGGCUUUCCAUUAAACCCUUGGCCUUUAGGUAAAAAGAGAGGAGCUGGAGUGCGGUAGGUUAAGAAUUCCUUGAGAACUUUCUCUGUACCUAUCUCUGCAAACUCAGCUUCAAUCUCUCCAGGCUCCUACAAAAACAAUCGAGCAGUUCCUCAAUUAAAAUGGGUUUUGUACAUCUUCAGAAGAAGACAAUUGUGAUAAACUAUAGAAGACCAAAAUUAAAAACUUUCUCAAGUGUGCCCAAGAACAGUUAGAUAACAAAGUUGCCUGAUGCCAUGAAUGAUUAUUUAAGCUUCAGCUAAAAUUAUACUGUUAAAUAAUCAUUUCAGCUAGAACAGCUGGUCAAAUUCGUAGCUACUACCUAAUUACUACCAAAAAGCCCAAUAUAAUCCAUCCCAAUCAAAUAAUCACUGCAAAUAGUAAACAAAAUAUAAAAUUGAUGAUAAUCCAAUUCCUAUACUACAUAAAGGGUCGAAGAUUUAUUAGCAUAACAAUCAAAAGUCUAAAACUUGAUGAUUAAACACUUCAUGUAACAAAAGAAAAGAUAGGUCAAUUAAAAAAAACAACUGCAAAUGCCUGAUCUUUUCAUACCUGUCAAAUGAUCCCUUCAAAUAGUAAACAUGCCUACAAAAUCUACUAACAUAAUCCAUGUAAUCCAGAAAAGGCGAAAGAUUUGCUAGAACAAGUUUACAAUUUGACAUCACAAAACACAGUAUGCAGUCAAGAAAGUAACUUUGAUUCUGAAAAUCAAGAACCCAUCAUUAAAAUAACAAUAAAACAAACCUGGAAUCUGAUAAUAUAAUAAUCGUCACCAUAAACAGCCUUCAAAGUCGCAAUAACUUUCCUACUGGGAUUCCUUGGAUUAAACAAAACACUCAAGUUAACCAAAGCUUUAACUCUAUCUGGUCUAAACAAAGCCAAAUGCCAAGCCAUCAAAGCACCCCAAUCAUGUCCCACAACAAAAACACUCUCUUGAUUCGGAGCAACAACAUCAAGCAACCCAAUCAAAUCACCAACCACAUGGAGAACGGUGUAACUUGUAACCUCAGCUGGCGCAUCUGUGUCACCAUACCCUCUCAAGUCCGGUGCCACAGCUCUGUAGCCAAGUGAGGAUAGAGCCUCAAUCUGGUGUCUCCAGGAAUACCAUAGUUGAGGGAAUCCAUGGAUGAAGAGAAUAACUGGGGCAUUCUCUGGACCUUUGAUUGCUACAUGAAUAUUAAUGCCAUUGACAUUAAUGGUUCUGUGUUCUAUGGAGGAGGCCAUGGUUUCUGUGCUUGUGUUCAGAGUUGUGGGUUGGGGUUUUUUAGGCUUUGCAAGAUGACAGUUUAAACUUUAACUAGUUUGGUGAGACGAUGCGUAGGAACAUUAAAUAAAAAUUAAAAAAUAAAUACUACAAAUGAUGUUAGCAAUGUUAUUAGUAUAUGACGUCAUUUUAACGUAUUAUGCUCUGUUUUUUGCAAGUGGUUUUUAGAAAAUUAUUUUUUAAAUUUUUUAUGUUUAUUUAUUAUUAGAAAAGUUUGCUAAUGAAAAAUAUGAAAACACCUUCCAGUCAAAGAAAAAUUUGGCUUGGUUUCCAGGAAAGUAUUUUCUUUUUAUUUUAAACGAAAAAUAUUUUCCGGAAAUUGUAAAAAAUUUAGAAAUGUCAUAUUAUUUGCUGAUUAUAUCAAAUUUGGUCCUCAAACUUUUGAUUGCUAUAUAUAUUUUGUUUUGAAUAUUUGUUUUUUAAUUUCAUCCCUUAGAAUUUAAUUUUUAUAUUAAUUUUGAUCCUCAUUUUUAUAAUUGUUAUUUGUUUUUCCCUUACCAUUUUUUAAUUGAAAUUUUUUAUCUAUCAAAUUUGGUCCUCAUUAUUUUAAUUAUUAUUUAUUUUAUUUAAAAUAAUUUAUGAAAUGUUAAUUAUUAUUAUUUUAAUUUCUUCAUCUUUUAAUUUUUUUUUUAGAUUUGACCUCUAUUAUUUUGAUUAUUAUUUAUUUUAUUUGAGAUAAUUUAUAAAAUUAUAUUUUUUUUUCAAUUUCAUUCUCAUUCAACUUUUUAAUUUGUAAGAUUUGUUCCUCAUUAUUUUAAUAAAUUUAAAAAAAUAAAAUAUUAAUAAGUUAUUUUCCAACUUAUUUUCCAUGACAUAACCAAACACUGAAAAAUAUUUUCCAACUUAUUUUUCAUUACACUACCAAACAUAAAAAUAUAAUUCACUUUUCUGGAAUUCACUUUCCAAAAGAAACUACUUUCCAGCAAAUAAACGAGGCCUAAGAUUAUUAGGAAUUCCAAUUAAAAGAUUAACAUUGAAAAUGAUUUUCUUAUUUCGAUAUUUUAUUUAUUUUUCUAAAUAUAUUAUAUUUAAUAAGAAACUAAAUCAUGAAUUAAUGUGUAAAAUCUAAAAAUACCAAAUUAAAGUAAUGAUGGGAAUUAGACUCGAUCAUACUUACUUAAAGUUGUAGGGUUUUUUUUUUAAUUUUUUUCUAUGAGUAAUAAAUAUUAUUAAAUUAGACUCAAAAUAUGUACAUUUAUAUCAUAUACAUAUGCUAGUAGAAUAUUUGUAUUUUUAAAAUAUAAUAUAUAUAUAUAUAUAUAUAUAUAUAUAUAUAUAUAUAUAUAUAUAUAUAUAUAAUCUUUUCAUUUAAAAUAUGUAUACAUGUAUAUUAAUUUUAUUUUAUGUUGAACAAUAAUAGUACUUAGAUAAUGAAAACACUAAACUUUAUAGAUAGAAAUAAAUUUCUAAAUUUAUCAAUGAAUAUAAUUUAAUAAAUUAUUAUUUUAAAUACUAAUUUUUUUUAAAAAAAUAAGGAUAAAAUUUCUUUUUAAUAGCUCAAUCCUUGAAGUAUAAUCAGUCUCAAGCUUUUUCUUGGUGGAUGACGAUCAGAGAGAGUGGAGAGGAAAAGAGAUAAGGAACAUUGCAUUAUUGAAUUGAACGUGACACACGAGAGAGUCCAAAAGUCCAUUUUGGUCCUUUCAUGUUUCUUAAUGUGUCGGUUUGGUAUCAUUUGUGGUUUUUUUUUUACGUGCUCUAAAAAGAGAAUCUAAGUCAACAGAUUACUAAGCAUUAUGUGCAAAGCGUUAAUUUUAAUGGAAACAAUUUACAGGCAAGUAUGUUAAAAAAAUACAAAUAAAUUAAAAAAUAUAAUUCAUUUUUUUUAUUUACAUAAGAACACGAUUAUAAAAAAUAUGUUAUAGACUUUGUCCUUUCGUUUUCUCUUGACAAAAAGAAAGGGCCAUAUUAUGAGAUGCUUUGAGAGGGUUGAUUAUUUAGGUUCGAUUUGGUUUUUAUCAAAAAAAAUAACCGGUAUCGGUUCGGUUCGGUUCUGAUUUUUUUGACAAAAACCAGUUCAAAGCGGUUUGGCUUAGUUUUUUUAGUUUGGGAUCGGAUCGGAUCGGUUUGGUUUUUUCAGUUUCAGGCUUAUAAAAUCGAAACCUAACCGAAUCGGUCGGUUUUUUUAAAAUUUUAAUCGGUUUUUUCACGAUUUGAUUUUUUUAUUUUUUUUUUCAAUUUUCUUAAUUUAAUCAGUUUUUUUAUUCACCCUCUUUUGUCAGGCCUUUUAAUUUGGAUCGUUGCUUUCCUUUUGGAUUGAAGCAAACUAUUCCUUUGGAAAAACAGCCUUUCUUUUAUCUUUAUGUGUGUGUUUUUUCCUUUUAAAUUCUUUCGAUUUUGCCCAUAUACGCACUGCAAAUUGGAUUAAUUUUUUUUCAAUGGUAAAAAAAAAAAUAUUAAUGAGUUUUCAACGUGUUUUCUAGCAUUAAGAAAAAUUUUAAUUGUAAAAUAAAAAUCUGAUUUAAGUUAACUUGAUUUCUUGAUUGGAAUAAGAAAAUAUCAUAUAUGUUUCUAUUUCUUAAUUCAAAUUUGACCUUGAAUGAUUUGUAUUAGAUAGUAUAAAUGAAGUUAAAUGGCAAGUAAUUAAAUGAAAUUAUCAGCUUUACAAUUGAGGGAAAUAUCAUAAUUGUUGAAUUCAAUUUGAAUUAAAUGAUUUAUAUUAGGUAAAAAAUAAGAAAUAAAAAUACGUAGAAAAAUAAGAAAUAAAAAAGGGUUAAUUUAUUUCUAUUUUUAUCAUGUACUAUAUCAUGACUAUUUAAUUUAAAUUUAAUAAUUCAAAUGCAAUAAAUAAGAUUGUAUAUUUUAUUUUAUUUUUUCAAUUCAUCAAUUCACAUUAAAUUAUUUGUCUUUAAACUUUAUAAUUUUUUUUCACUUUUCUUACUAUUUAGUUAUUCUGAGAGCGGGUUGGUAAAGUUAACUCGGAUUGACUCAAGGUUUUUUUAACUUUUUUUUAAUUGAACUUUAGUUUUUUUACUAUGUCAUCCUUUUAAAAUUCAUUUUUUAUGUUGAUCUCAUAUCACGAGUUGUUGGUUCAUCAAGUUACUCCGAGCUGGCUUAGAUUGGCUCAGUGAAAAAGAUAACUCUCUUUUUUUGUUUUUUUUUUUUUAUGCAUUUUCCCCCUCAUUUUAAUAUUAAAAAAAAUUCAUCUUGAUUUUUAAAAAAAUAUAACACUACCAUGUUGUGUUGUCGGAUGCUUGUACAAUUUUGCAGGCUUUCUAUUUUGGAUAGACGCAAAAGCUUACAAGUGGACCAUCCAUGCAUUAACAGCCUUUCUUUUUCCUUCACGUCCCUUUCGUUUUGGCCCACGAACAUAAGAUUCGAUCGUGAGAGUCUAGGCAAUGGCAUUUCUUUCAUGAACACUUUUGUUUUCAGAAAUUCUCACACAAAACUUGUUCAUUGAACAAGAAUUAUUUUAAUACAUUGAUGUUGUAGAUUUCACAAGAGUAAUUGUUCCAUGCUUCGCUAUGGGUCAUACCAAAAGACAAUUUAAACCAUGAAAAAUUUGCAUUCAUUGUUAAUAUAUUUUUUAUUUGAAAAUAAAAUUUUAAUUAUAAACUCAAAAUUUAUUCUAUACAAAGUAGAUUUUUUGAAAAUAUCUGGACGAUAACAUCUUUAAUUAGCUUAAUCCAACCUAACAUAUCCUGACAAACUAGUGACUUGGAUUAUGGUGUCGACUUGGUCUAGUAACAUUGUUUUUCAGUUUUUUUUUUAAUUAUAUGACAAUAAAAAUAUAUGCUAUUAGAAAAACAAUAUGAUAAGAUUUUUUUUAAAAAAAUAAUGAUGAGUUGUAACCCAAACUUGCUAAUAUUAUAAAAAUAUUGUUAUACUCUUAUUUAAAAACAAAAUAAAAAAUAAAUGGUAUCUAAUAAAAUAACAUCUAAAAUAUAUUCUUAAUUGAUUUAAGAGUUUAAUAAAUUAAUAUAUUUUAAAUUAAUUAAUUAAUUGUAAAAAAUGUAAAUUCAAAUUAAUUAAAAACAAAACUGUUCAGACAUGUGAGCUUGAUUAAAUUAAAAAGCCUAGGCAUGCUAGAGCUUUGUUUAUUAUUAUUUUUUUCAUAGGUUGUUCACUCCUUUUUUUUAAUUAAAUAGGUGGCACUUGUAGUGGUAGAUAACUUGUCACCUGAUUUUGCCCAAACUCUAGUAACCACUAUGGUAACUAGAAAAUCGAGGGUAAGGUUUUUUCUCUAAAAUCCUUAUUUCAAUUCAUUUUCACCAAAAAAAAACAUAUCAAACACACCAUACAAAACUAAUACAAACUGCCCUACAAUUGCAAAAUAUCCCAAAAUAACUAAAAAAAUCAACUAAAUCUCAAAAAUCAAAACCGAACUUGAUCUAUCGAUCUCAUAAUGUUUAGAGAGAAAAACCAUCACCAUCAAUCUCCUCUAAUCAAAUAGAACCUUUUGACACCAAACUUGAUAAUUUUGGUUGUUAGAAUCAUGACAAUUAACAACUUCCUCUCUCUAUUAUUCUUUUUCGACGAGCUUCUCUCUCCUCUCUCAAACACAUAAACUAAAAAAUAAACAAAAUAAAUUUUUUAUCAAAAUAAAAAUUGUUGUGAAUUUGGAGUUAGCCAUAUAUUUUUUUCUAUGCUUUAGAUUUUAGUCUUUUAUUUUUUAAUGUGAUAUUUCUACCAUAAUUUCAUCUAAUUAGACUAUAGAAAGGUUCUAUGAAAAAAAUCAAAACUAAAAAAAAUAAAAUAAGUGUUUCAUUAUUCAUAUAAACAAUAGCGCGCAUCUAGUUGUUUUAGUUUUUGUUAUAAUUUUGUACAAGUGGAUGACACAAUAAUCAAAACAAUAAUAAUUCCUUGAAUUGUUGUUGGAUUUGGAUAUGGAUUGGGGUGUCCAUGAUGGGUAAGCUCGUGUUCAAAAAUCAUUUUAAGAAAAUUUAAAACUUUAUUGGAUUUUUUUUUAACUAGUAUUAUAAAACUCUAUCAAGUUUGGUGGGUCAAGUUCGAUACAUAACAUAAAUUAGGUUUUAAAUCAAAUCAGAUAAAAAAUUAAUUUAAUUAAACCCAAUUAACCAAAUAAAUUAAUAAAUAAUAACUGAGACUUAGUUUGACUUAAAUAAAUAUUUUAAAUUUAUAUUAUUGACGUGGGUUCGCUAUCAAAUGAAUGGUGGAAAAGUGUUUUUUUUUUUUUUUUUCAUUUGUGAUUUAACCAAACUCACGACCCUCUUUUGAUAAGGUAACUUGUAAUGAACCUCACACCCCCCGAACAAAUUAAGUCACCCGUGGUUGCCCUUUCGAUAAAAAUCCCAAACAAUACACAUACGAUUUUAGUGCCUAAUCUAUUGUGAAGGACAAACUAAUUCUAGCUCUCACAAUUUCAAGCUUUUAGGUCAUUAAAGUUCAUCGACUCUUUCACUAAACGGUCCCCUCUCCAUUCUCAGUUAUUAUUCACUGAUCUCCAUAGGUUUAAAAAGGUUUUUGCAAGAAAAAUUAAUGGAGUUGGUUACUCUUGGACUAAUAAUACUCAGCUAUGUUACUAUAAUUAUGUAUAUGGACAAAUUAAAAUACAAGGAUCUGAUAAUUAAAGUUUAAGGAUACGGCAUGAAAAAUAUAGCAAAUAUAAAAAUUCAACCACCUUUGAGAAGCCAUUACUUUUUUUUUUUUUAUGGGAAUAACUUGUCAAAGAAUCAAUUCAACCCAAUAGCUUAAGCUGUUAGGUGAGAUUCCAGGAUAUGAUUUAUAUUAUUCUCUAAUAUACCCCCUCAAGUGAAAGCUCUUUGGGCUUGAAACUUGCACAGGCCCACAUUACCUUGUGCUUAAUGUUUAUCAAAUAAAUAGGGAUUGUGAGAUUUGAACUCGUGACCGCUUGGUUAUCAAGACUCUGAUACCAUGUCAAAGAACCAAUUCAACCCAAUAACUUAAGCUGUUAGGUGAGAUUUCAUUAUAUAAUUUAUAUUAUUCUCUAACAGGAUCAAUGGUUCUGGACUAUAUAAUUGAAAUAAUCAUUUCUUAUCUUAUUCAUUUUUUAAUGUUUGAACUUGAGGCUGAACUUUUGAGCCUGUUUUUUUUUUUUUUUUUGUAUUUUAAAAGUGCUGUUGAAAAUAUUUAAAUUUUUUAUUUUUUUAUUUGCUUUAAAUUAUUUUUUUUAUGAUUUUAAAUCGUUUUAAUGUGUUAAUGUUAAAAAUAAAUUUUAAAAAAUAAAAAUAAUAUUAUUUUAAUACAUUUCUAAAAUAAAAAUAAUUUAAAAAAUAAUUAUUACUAUAAUUUCAAAAAAUCAGCUAUUAAUGAAUAUCUCAAACAUUAAUUGUUAGGCUUUCCUUAAAGGACACGAAUUGGACUAAGCUGGAAGAGGUAAACCAAUUGCUAAUCUUGAUUAUUCUUGUAAAUAUUAAAAAUAAAGAUAUAAAUAUAAAUUUAUUUAUGGGAAAGGUAAGCUUUUAAACUGUGUCCAUAUGUAUAAAUCCUAAUAAAGCAGACCCUCACCCCUGAACAUAUAUAUAUAUAUAUAUAUAUAUAUAUAUAUAUAUAUAUAUAUAUAUAUUUUAAGAGUGUAGUUAUUGUUAUUUUUUAAAGUAUUUUUUAUUUGAUAUCAAAGCGCAUUAAAAUGAUUUAAAAACAUCAAAAAAAUAUUAAUUUAAAAUAAAAUUUAAUUUAACUUUUUUAAAAAACACUUUUAAAAUACAAAAAAAUAAAUAAAAAUAUAUUCCACAACAGAGUAGUUGACUACGCUCACGAACAAGCAUGCAGAGGCGAGAAGCAUUAGCUCAACCUGUGGUUCUUAAAGGCAUGGCUCGCAAUGUCUGACUACUCUCACUGCUCAUGAGCGCCGAUGAGGGAAAAUGCUUCGAUCAAACUUGUCCGUCCAUGGUCGAACCGUCUUCCCUGCUGCAAUCUUGCUUAGUAAGCCUCUCGCUGACUCGACAGAUUUAAAAGGAAGAGGAGGGGCAGUGUGAAUCUCCAAACUGAACGAUCCACAAAAUGAAUGGCCGUGGAAAGAUUUAUAUCAUAGCGUGCAUUAUGCUUUGAGCAAACAAUGCAGGAUUUGAUUUGACUUUUGAGGGCAUAGGAAAAUUACAAGGACCAGUUCCUUGACUCGUCAGGAUAAUGCUUGAGAAAAUGCAAGAUCUUACACAAACAAGAAAUAUAGGUAAUUUGCUUAUCUUCUAAGAUCCGAUGAAAAAGUUAACCCGCACCCCCCCGGAGUCUUGCAUCCGGCACUGGCUCUUAGCUGACCUGGUCAAGGCUGACAGUAUACCUUCUUUGCAUUAAUUAUUGAUAGUAUUUUAAUUUAUGUCCUUUGCUUAUCUUCUAAGAUCUGAUGACGGCAAAGAGAUUUUGUUUCCUAUAAAAAAAGGCUUCAAUUAGUCAACUCUAAUUGAAUAUGGUUUCCACUUUAAAAUUAGUAGAAUUAACUUUUUCAUAGUAAAAGAAAUUAAAAAAAAUAUUACCCCCUCGUUUUAACGACUAGACUCCCUCUUUUAGAAGAAAGAUUAUAUUUUUCUGUGACUAAUAAAACCUUGUCUCAUUUUUUUUUAUAUAGAAAAACUUAUGUUUUUUUUUUUUAAAAAUUCAUGUCUUUUAUGUAUCAAUAGAUUUUUGUAAUAAAUUACAUGCUUACGAAUAUUUUGCUUGAUUUUUUUCUAGUACCAAAAUAAAAUAGGAUUGAAUGAAAUGAAUGAUUUCCAAACUUACUCUUUUUAAUACUAAAUAGAUACUUUGCUUAUUUUUUCCACAAUUCAUUAUACUCACAAGGAUUAUUGUAUAAUCUUAUAGUUGAUAAUGUUUUAAAAUCUAAAAUAUAUAAAUAAAAAGUUAUUUAGUGUUGAGAUAGUAGUUAAUCAACAUAUUCACGUAUGUGAACUUCUUCUUCUUAAUCUAAGAAAUUCCAGGCUUACAAUAAAAAUUUUGAGUACCUGCAAAAACAGUUAUAAUCGGGGUAGACACCAAGACCCUCUUAUAAUAAAGUUAGUAUUUUUAAGGAAAAUGUAUUAAAUAACUUAAAAAAGCCUUAAUAAGAUGUUUGUUUUUGAGUUUUUAAGUUUGUUAAUACUUUAAAAUCUAAGUAUUUUUAUCUUAAGAGAUAAGAAGUUGUGAAACCUUUACCUAAAUGGUUCAGGGAGUAUUUAUACCCCCUGAACCUUUUUGUUUCCAUGAAAAAGAGAGCCGGAAAGUCUUUCAUUUUCGACAUAUUAAUAAGAAGCAAAUAUCUCUUACAUAUCAUUAAUAAGAUAAUAAGUAUGGUAGGUCCUUUAAGUGACCUUAUAUACACUUAUAAACAAAAGGAAAUUAUUAUCUUAAUAUGAAUAAUUAUUCUAGAUGGAGAGGUAUGAUGAUUUAUUAUGUCUUUAACACUUAUACUAUAGAGAAUUGUCUAGGAUCAAGUAUAAGGCCUUAGAAUUUAAUAAUGUCAAAGUUUUUUGAAUCUGAGAUGUUUGUCAGACUCAUGUUACCUUGAACUUGGCGAACUUUCAUGUGAAACCCGAGAACAAAUUAUACCAAAAAAGAAAAAACAAAAAAGAGGGGGGGUUUAUAAUAAUUUAAAUUUUGUUAUAAUACAAAAUAAUGUAACUACAAAAAAAAAAUGGCUUAAUUAAGAAAAAGGAAGAAAGAUGGAGCCAAAAUGGAAUUAAGAAGAAAUGGGACUAUAAAUACCCAUUCCUUCUCUCGCCCAUGGCCGGCUGAUAACAUCAAAAAGAGGGGGGGGAGAAUUUCAGAUUUUUCCUUCAUCAAAUCUAAGAGUAAAUACCCAAAUUAGUAUACCCACACAAGCCUUGAAAUUAUUAAGUGGAGGAAACACAUUUGGGUGGAGAACUAACAAGAAGAAAAGUGAAGAAUUGGUGAAGAAAAGAGGGGGAAGAGUGGCCGACUAUAUGCAAGGAGAAGAAGGCUAAGAUUCUUUUUAAAUUUUGUGAAGUAAAGCUUAGAUUUCAUCCAAGUAAGGAGUUCUAAUUUCAAUUUCUAUGAAAUUUACUUCAAUUUGAUUGGAAGUUUCAUAAUUUUCUUGAAUUGAGAAUUAGGGUUCUUGAACAUAAAAUUUAGGCAAAAAUGCAAAAUUUCUUGAAACUAUACCUAUUAGGGUGAUAGUAAUGGCCUUGAAUGUGGAGGGGUGCAAUGGAAGGAAAAAGAAGAAGAAGAAGAAGAAAGAACAGAUUUAAGGAGCGGCCACUAGAGGGGAAGAAAAAUAGAGGAGGAGAACUUAUGACUUCCUUGUUAAUUAAUUGAGAUGUGUUGUUAUAAUAUAGUUACUAAUUAUAACUUGUAAGGAAGAGGAACCUUCGUUCCUUUGGGUAGGUUCGGCCAAAGUAGAAAUCAACUAAUUAACUUAGUACAAAUGACCUUGGGAGGUCAUAAAGAGAUAGGUUACCAUGCAUAAGGUGAAGGCAUGGCUGUAUCUGAUGAGGAAGUAGGAUUAGAGAUAAAAUUGGAAAUACUUGUCCAUUGAUGAAAACAGGGUAGGUUCGCCACCUUGAUUCCUGAGGGAAUUCGGACAUGAAAAUGAUAGAAUCCAGGGAGGGUCCCUUCAUAGAAGUUGUAUCCGGGAGUGUUAGCUUUCCAACAAAUCUGACCGUGCCUAAUUUGGAGUCCUAGAACUCCAGAUAUGAAUAAAAAUCUGAAGGGAGGUCGAGCUGUCGCCCUAUUGGCAGAUUCGGCCAAGUCGAUAAAACGAUGAAAUUUAGCCAUAUUAAGGGUAGAGUUUGUUUUCUUACCCUUCAUAAAGUGUGUAACAUCGUGUCUUGAUCUUCAAAAAGGAACAACCUAUGAUCAAAAUUGAAUUGAAAAUGUUAAAGGAUAAUAAAGAGGAAUGUAGGUGAGAAAGAAAAGAAUGGUAAAAAAGAAAUGAAUAUUAUUGCCAUUGUUGCUGUUGUGUUGUGACAUGUGGACUAAUAUGGAAUAAUGAUUGGUGUUUGUCGUUUCAGGAGGAACCGCGGGAGGAGUGCAGCAACAACAAGGGAACACAAGUCGAGCGUCUACAGCAGGUAGGUACUCGGUACCUAUAUCUCAUCUAGUUAAUAAUUAUUUUAACUAAUUGUUGAACUAUAAAUUUUGGUGCUUAUUGAUGAGGAAAAGAAAAGAGGAAAAGGAAAGGUUAAACGACAGGAAAAUGGAAACGGAGAACUAGAUUUAAUUUAUGGGUUCUUUCGGAGAAAAUGGACAGUAACAAUGAACUUUAGGAAUGAUUGUUCCGUAAAUUUGAUUAGCCUAUCCUAGAUACGAGAGGCUAAUGAUGUUAGCCAAGUUGGCUAACAUCGGCAUGACCGGUACAUGGGAGGAGAAAUAUAGAACUUGAUUAACUAUUCGGGUUCAGAAUAGUUAAUGAUAUCGGCAGGAGACGUCGAUGUCGGCAAAAUUUAUGGGACUUGAUUAACUUUCCGAUGUGAAAGCCAAUGAUGUCAAGAAUCCUUGACAUUGGCAUACCCGAGGACCUCCCAAGGUAACAUGGAACAUUGAUUAACUAUUUAGGCCCGAAAAUAGUUAAUGACACCAAUGGUUGCGUUAGUGUCGGCAAUUUCAUAAACUUGAUUAGUUGACCCCGGGGCGGGCAACUAAAGACACUAAUGGGGGUCAUUAGUGUUGGCAGUAAUCUUCCCAAUGUGGGGAGAAGUGGCAGGGUGAAUACCCUAAAUCAGAGCUUGGAUUUCAUAAAAAAAAAAAAAGGCAAACAUAGUUAAAGGAAACAAAUUUGCUAAUCCUUAAAAGGGGCUAGUUAUGGUGUAUAAAAUUGCAUAUGACUUAAGUAGGUAGAUGUGUUGUAUGAUUUUUCUUCCGUGAAAUUGUUUGUAUCUUAUUUUUUUAAUUAUAUGGAAAAUUUAUGUUUUGCAGGUCCCUCCCAUUCACGCCAGGAAUAGAAUUUAGGUUCCUUGAUCCCAUUUUCUAUAAGUUAGGAACUUAGAGAUUAUUCAUGUAAUUUUGUUAUGCAGUAAACAUCUAAUCUCUAUAGAAUAGUAUACUCAUAUUUUUUUUUGGAAUAUUAAAUGUAUCAAUCUAUGCUUGGGAUAUUAUAAUGUACUAGCUUAUGUUUAGAAUGUUAAAUUGUGUUGUGUAUAUAUAUAUAUAUAUAUAUAUAUGAAAUUUCAGUGUUCGAAUGGUUCUCUUAAUUAUUAACUUAUGCAUGUGAUAUGAGAUGGAGAUUGGGCUUGCAGAUUUGUCCUGAGCAUAUUCUCGAAUGAAUUAAAUGGUUGAUUGUACCAAUUAUAUAUGUGAUUAUGGGUGGGAUGUGAUUAUAAAUGUGUGUAGGGUAAAUUGUCGAUAACUUGGGACCUCCCGGUAUAGGGGAGACUGCCGAAAUUUUGUUAGAAAUUUCGAUGAACUCAAUGAAAUUUUUUUUUGCUCCAUUUAUCCUUUAUGUGGAAGAUAAACGGAUAAACUAAUUUAAUAAUUGGGGUUGUUAUAGUUGGUAUCAGAGCCUUUGGUUGAAAUUUCAGGGAUUGAAAUACUGAUGUGAUUUUGGAAACAUGUUGUAGGAUGGCUCGUACAUGACAGGAAGUGAGAGCAGACCCGUACCCUGUGCAGGGGAGAGAGUGUGGCUCAUUAUAUGGGAACGAAAACGAAAGGGAUCCACUGAUGGACACAACCUCCCACCAACCUGCAGCGUCGGCCUAUUCAGAUAGGGGAGAAUUAGGGGGGCAUCAGGAUGACCCUACCUCUUAUCGAGCAGAAGUGUUACUGCCUGGAGCAGCGAAUGGCUAAGGAACAGAAGACAGGCCACCACCAGUGGCACCGACGGUCACCCCAAAUCCAUAUUCGGACCCCACAUUUCCGGAGCAAGUGGUUAAGGCAGUAGCAGCAGGGAUGGCCACAAGUGCAUCCAAUUCCACUCCUCGGGCAGAAAGAAUAGUCACCCUGGUUCAAUGGGUGAAUGGCAUGCGGGAAAUGGGUUGCACGACCUAUUUAGGGGAAGAAAAAGCCGAAGUAGCAGGACAUUGGUUAAGGAAGGUAGAAAGGAUCAUAGAUCAGAUGCAAGUGCCAGAGGAAACUCGAGUAAACUGUGUGACCUAGCUGUUAAUGGAGAGUGCCCACUCCUGAUGGGAGACUAUUAGAGAAAGAAUGGCAGGAGAAGAAUUGAGGUGGAAACACUUUCGAGAAGAGUUUGAGGAGCGGUCCUACUCCUAGCAGCACCGGAAGGAGAAAGAACAGGAGUUCCUGGAUCUGAAACAGGGGAAUAUAACCGUUCUAGAGUAUGAGAGGAGGUUUUAGGACUUAUCUAUCUUUGUCACCACCUAUCUUUCCACUAAGCAUCAUCGGGUGGAAUGGUUUCGGGAAGGGCUCAGGCAGGAGUUGAAAUUAAUUUUGGUGGCUAUGCAGUUUCAGUCGGUCCGAGAGUUAGUGCAAGCUGCUCAGGGUAUGGAAAGAGUAAUGAAUGACACCCCAAGGUCAACAAGUGAGCAGAGUCAGACUAUGGGAUUCAAAAGAAGGGACUUCAUAUCUCCUAUAGGGAGGAAUCCUCAUCUAAAAAAAGGAAAUAGCGGGUCAUCAUUUGGGUUAUUUCUAAGAAGAGGGGGGAGUUUUGUUCAUGGUGGGAGUUCAGGAGAUGCUAGACACGCUAAUGUUGGGGGAUCCGUAUAAGGUCAGGCCCGCUAGGGGACAAGUGUUAUAGGGGGUCCAUGGAGCAGAGGGGACAUGUCUACUCGUUAUGCAUGAGAUGUAACCAGAAACACCCGAGGAUUGUUCAGCCACACCAGGAAGAUGCUAUGUUUGUAGAAGGGAAGGCAUCAAUGGAGGGACUGCAAGUAUUUGGGAAGAGGUUGUUUCCAUUAUGGGGAAACGGGUCACAGAAAGAAAGAAUGUCCGCAUAGAGCCACUGAAGUAGUGCAGAGACAAGAGAGGGCUACCCAAAGCCAGCAAUAGUUAGUGACAGUUGAUCAGCCUAUACGACCUACUCAGUCGGGGACAAGUGCCAAUAAAGGCCGACCUAGGUUCCAGGAGGAAAGGACGCGGGGCAAGAUAUACCACAUGACUCAGGAAGAUGUGGGGGCAAUGCCAGAUGUCGUAGCAGGUACACUACAAUUGGGUUUAAUACAAGUUUAUGCUUUAAUUGAUCAUAGAGCCAGUCAUUCUUUUGUGGCCCAUCGAAUUAUCAGUAAUUUAAAUGUGUUACCAAGUAGAUUAAAUGUGGGAAUGGUAGUUAGUACACCUUCGGGGAAAAAUAUAAACAUUGAUGAGAUAUACAAGGGAGUGAUACUAUACAUUGAGGGGGUAAAGCUAAGGGUGGACCUCAUGCCUUUAGAAUUAUAUGAUUUUGACUUGAUUCUAGGAAUGGGUUGGUUGAGUAGAUAUAGGGCACAAUAGAUUGUUUCAUAAAGACUGUAAACCUCUAAGAUAUGAGUGGCAAAAGGGUAGUAUUCAAGGGAGAGAGGAGGGUGAUUCUAAACUCCAUAAUCUCGGUCAUGACGACUAGAAAAUUGAUUAGAAAGGGAUGUCAUGCUUGGUUGUCUCAUGUAAGAGAAUUAAAGACGGGAAGCAUAGAAUUAACAAAUAUCCCUAUUGUAAAAGAAUUUUUAGACGUGUUUUGGGAGGAGUUACCGGGGCUACCUCCAAUUAGGGAGAUUAAGGUUUCCAUUGAGACUCUUCCGGGGUUCAACCCUAUAGCACAAUCCCUUAUAGAAUGGCCCAUAUAGAACUAGCUGAACUGAAGAUCCAACUUCAGGAGUUGCUGGACAAAGAGUUCAUACGGCCGAGCAAUUCACCUUGGAAAGCCCCAGUGUUAUUUGUAAAGAAAAAGGAUGGUACAUUCCGGCUUUGUAUCGAUUAUCGUCAACUGAACAAAGUGACGGUAAAGAACAAGUACUUGCUACCAUGGAUAGACGAUCUGUUUGAUCAGUUAAAGGGUGCGAGAGUAUUCUCGAAGAUAGAUCUGAGAUUGGGGUAUCAUCAAUUAAGAAUCAGAGAACAUGACAUAUAAAAGACUGCCUUUAGAACCCGUUAUGGCCAUUAUGAAUUCUUAGUGAUGCCUUUUGGGUUAACAAAUGCCCCGAUGGUAUUUAUGGACCUAAUGAAUCGAGUGUUUUGGCUUUAUUUAAAUAAAUGUGUGGUAGUGUUUAUUGAUGAUAUACUGGUAUAUUUGAGCUCUUAUUUGGAACACGAGAAGCAUUUGAGAAAAGUGUUGGAGAAAUUGAGAGAAAAUAAAUUGUAUGCAAAACUGGAUAAAUGUGAAUUCGAGCUUAAAGAGGUGAUAUUUUUGGGUCAUGUUAUUUUAGCGGGGGGAAUAUAUGUGGACCCAGGAAAAGUGGAGGCAGUUCUAAAGUGGGAGAAGCCCACAAAUGUGACUGAAAUCCAAAGCUUCUUAGGCCUCGCGGGAUAUUAUAGGAGGUUUAUCGAAGGGUUUUCUACAAUAGCAUCACCUCUGACCAAGCUGACUCGUAAAGAAGUAAGGUUUAUUUGGUCAAAAGAAUGCGAGGAGAGUUUUCAGGAGUUGAAAAGAAGGCUCAUAUCAGCCCCUGUUUUGGCCCUUCCUUCCGAAACAGAAGGGUUCAUGGUUUAUCGUGAUGCCUCGAGAAGGGGUUUGGGAUGUGUGUUAAUGCAGUAUGGAAAGGUGAUAGCCUAUGCUUCCAGACAGUUAAAGCCACAUGAAGUGAACUAUCCGGUGCACAACCUGGAACUUGCAACAAUACUAUUUGCCUUACGAGUAUAGAGACAUUAUUUGUAUGGAACACAAGUGCAGAUUUUCACCGACCAUAAGAGUUUGAAGUAUUUAAUGUCACAAAAAGUGUUAAACAUGCAAUAGAGGAGGUGGGUAGAGUUGAUAAAGGACUACGACUGCAUAAUUGACUACCAUCCUAGCAAAGCCAAUGUAGUGGCGGACGCUUUGAGUUGAAAAGGGAAAGCGGUGAUGGGUGAUACAGAAAUUUCAGAACAAGAGAACUUGAUGGAAUUGAAAAGGAUGGUAUUACAGUUAAGCAAGGGUCAUGAAGGGUCACUACUGGCUUAUAUAAAGAUCAUAUCAGUGCUACGAGAUAAAGUUCUAGAAUCUUAGUUAGCGGAUGAGGGUAUAGGAAAAAUCAAAGAAAAGAUAGAGCAAGGCAAAGAGUUAUCCCUUCAAGUUUUGCUAGGAGGGUUGGUGGCGAUGGGAAAACGGGUUUACGUACCUGAAAAUAAGGCCAUAAAGGGUGAAAUAUUGAAGGAAGCUCAUGAAUCUCGAUUUGCAACUCAUCCCGGGAGCACCAAGAUGUAUAGGAUCUCAAAGAGUAUUACUAGUAGCCAAAUAUGAAGAAGGAGAUAACAGAAUAUGUGUCAAGAUGUGGGAUAUAUCAAUGGGUGAAGAUAUAACACCAAAGGCCAGUAGGGGAAUUGCAACCGCUACCAAUUCCGAAAUGGAAAUGGGAAAAUAUAGCCAUGGACUUUGUAACCAGAUCACCAAAGGGGGAAAAAGGGCAAUAAUGCUAUAUGGGUGGUGGUAGAUUGACUAACGAAGUCGGCUCUGUGCUUGCCCACCAAAAUGACGGACCUCGUAGACAAGUUGGCCAAAUUAUACGUGAAUGAAGUGAUUAGACUACAUGGAGUGCCCUUGUCAAUUGUGUCAGAUCGAGACCCAAGAUUCACCUCAAGGUUAUGGCCAUGCUUACAACAAGCUUUAGGAACAGAGGUAAACCUGAGCAUGACAUUCCACCCCCAGACAGAUGGCCAAUAUGAAAGGACCAUCCAAACACUUGAAGACCUUCUAAGGUCAUGUGUGCUAGAGUUUGAGGGAAACUGGGAAGAUUUGUUGCCGUUGGUAGAGUUCAUGUAUAAUAAUAGUUACCAAUCUUCUAUUGGAAUGGCUCCAUAUGAAACCCUUUAUGGGAGGAAAUGUUGCACUCCGAUAUUCUGGGAUGAAAUUAGAGAAAGGAAACUCUUGGGUCCUGAAAUGGUACAAAUAACAACUAAUAAAGUAAGGGUGAUCAAGCAAAGAAUGAAGGAAGCCCAAGAUAGAGAGAAAAGUUAUUCAAAUACCCGGAGUAGACCUUUAAAAUUCCAAAUAGGGGAUAGAGUAUUCUUGAAAGUGGCACCAUGAAAGAGCAUCAUUCGGUUUGGAAUGAAAGGAAAGCUUGCUCUGAGGUACAUUGACCCAUUUAAGGUGAUAGCUAGGAUAGGGUCGAUUGCUUACCGCUUGAAGCUACCGGCACACCUAGAGAAGAUUCAUAAUGUGUUCCAUGUAUCACUAUUAUGGAAGGUGGAAGUGGAUCCUUCUCGAGUGUUACCUCCAGUUCCCGUUGAAGUAAGGGAAGAUUUGACACUCAAGACUAGGCCAGUCAAGAUUGUUGCACAUGUGCGGCGUCGCGGUGAAAACAUCCACCCUCAAAAUUUUAUCUGAUGUCUAAAAAUGUAUUUAUGUGGCAAAUGUGGGGAGACAAGGAAUUCUUGUCUUUUAUUAGUAGAAAAAUGGAAUGGGAGCUGCCACCUAGUAUUUUGGUCACUAGGAACCCUAACUGGUCUCAGAGAUCGGGUACGGGGACUGGUUGCAUAAAAGGAAGGUAUUAGCACCCCAAAUACGCCCUACCUAAGGUAGGCUGUAUUGUUUUAUUGUCUGAUAAAAUCUAAGGUCUUGUCGUGUUUUCUAGUUGUUGGUCCGUCUAUGGUUUAAGAAAAGUUAUCCUCGGUAAGGAGAUCCUUAUCUUAUCAUGUAAAACCUAACUGUUCUAACGUCAACAAAAGAGUUUAAUAUCCAGAAUACGUCGUACGUAUAAGGUCGUAACCCCAGAUAUUAAAAGAAAACAAAAUAAUUUUUUUGGAAUUUUUGAAAUAUUGACCUAGUUCUCAUGAUUUUAAUAAACUGGUUAUUAAAGCCAAAAUGCAUGCUAAUACAUAUUUUUGAAAUUUUCUUUGUUAUAUGAAAAUACAAUAUGAUUUUUUUUAGAGACUUGGCCGUAUGCAUGAAAACAAAACAUUUUAUUUUAUUUUUAUUUUUUUAUUUUUUUAGUUAUUUUAUUUUUACGAAAACCAAGUAUUUUAAUACUGGAUUUGUAUCUUUACAGUAUAAAAAUACAAACCAAUAUUUCAAAAUGCAAUAAAACAUUUGCGGAAAAUCACAUGUUUUUGAAAAGAAUUUUUUUUAAGAAUUUUUUUUUCGGGCUGGGUUCAACCUGGCCUAUGUUGCUGGGCUGGACCUAGCCACCUGGUCACUGGCCCAAGCGAGUGACCCACCCAAGCCAUGCACGCGUAAAAUUUUACGUGUGCAUAGAACAGUGCAAAGGUAAUUAAAUUACCUUCGCAUUGUUCAUUCUUCGUUUUUUGCAGAUAGCAAAGGACAAAGACCCCAGGUUACAGAGUGCAAAAAUGGCGAUCUUUAAGCUUUUCUUUGGUCUUCUGUUUUCCUUUUGUUUAUCUAGACAAGCAUGCAUCAAUUUUUACGAAGAAAGGAAAUGAGCAUACCUGGAGAAAGGAAAGCGAUGGUGGUGCUGACCUCCCCUGCUGUCUGUGAGCUUUGCUCCGCCGCUCGGUUUCUCCUUGCUUUUCUGUUUCUAUCUCUUCGUGCAACCUUCCUUUGCGUUUCAAUCUCCUGGUUUUGAGAAGACGAAGACGAUGGUGGUGCUAUGUUCUCUGCUUCACCGUGUCCUCUGCUUCCGUUCGGUUUGCUUUUUUUUCUCCUUCCUCUUUCUCUCCCUUAUGCCUUCUCAGUAUUUCUCCACUCCCUCAGUUUUUUAACGAUCUCCUAAGUUGUCUCCCUCCUGUUUUUUCUCCUCGCUGUCACCUCUCCUCUCUCGUUUCUUUUCUCUCCUUUUUUUUAUGUCCCCUGGUGUUCGGCUCCUCCUCUGGCUUUUAUAGCGAGAGGACGCAGGCGUUUAUGGUAAGCGGGCGUGAAUCAUGGUGGCGAGGGAUGUCAGCCGCGAUUUGCGCCCCUUGAUUUGAAAAUGGCUCCAUUAUUGCUGCUAACGUCUCCUGCCCUUUACUGUCACAGACUCACAACUGUUGAAGACAGUGAAUAGCGCUUCAAUGUAAACGGUCAUUGAAUUUUUUGCAAUUUUGUAAUCAAACCCCCGACAAAAUUGUAAUUGGAUCCCUUAAUUUUGGCGCCUUUUCUGGUUUGGUCCUUGGUUUUGGAUUGUGUCAAUUAAGUCCCUAAUUGGUCAUCAAACUUCAAUAAUUAUGCAAUUAAAACCCUGAUUUGGCCAAAUCAACUCUUUAAAAUUAUAAUUGGACCUCAGAACUUUAAUUUCUUCCAAUAAAAGCCUAAAUUGACUUAAAAAUCAAUUUUUCUUGCAAUCAAACCCUCCAUAAUUUCAAUUAAAUCUUAGAUAAAAUUUAAUUGAGUCCAUUAACAUCUGAUUUUGAAUAUAUUUUUUUCAAAAUUGAAUUUUCUUUGUCAACAGGACUCUCAGCACUUAACGAUAAACUGUCAAAUUUCAACCUUUUACAUUUUUGAACCUCUUCAACCAAUUUUUGGCUAUUUUUCAGCAUUCCAGCAUCCUUUUCUCGCUCUUAUAAUUUAUUUGGAUUUCUUCCGUAUAUAUAUCAUUUUUGUGUGGGAACCAAAAAAUGGGUAACAACAGAUGCCCCCUCUUUACAAUGCUUACGAAGCAAAACAUCAUCAAUGUCUUGCAUAUUAAGCUUGUAAAGAAAAAGAAAAAGAAAAAGAAAAUGAUCUCAUUAUCUAGGGCGACCUGCCCCUUUUGAAGAAAAUUGGUCUACUUUCACGGGCGACCUGCCCACUCACACUCACUGGUCUAUUUUCACGGGCGACCUGCCCACACAUGUUCAUCCUGAUCUAUUUUCAGGGGUGACCGACCCACACACUUAUAUUGGUCUAUUUUCAUGGACGACCUACCCACACAUUUUCAUCCUGGUCUAUUUUCAGGGGCGACCGACCCACACACUCACACAGUCUAUUUUCAUGGGCGACCUGCCCUCACACUCACAUUGGUCUAUUUUCAGGGGCAACCUACCCGUACAUGUUCAUCCUGGUCUAUUUUCAGGGGCGACCGACCCACAAACUCACAUGGUCUAUUUUCAUGGGAGACCUGCCCCCACACUCACAUUGGUUUAUUUUCACAUGCGACCUACCCACACAUGUUCAUCCUGGUUUAUUUUCAGGGGCGACCGGCCCACGCGUGUUCAUCCUAGUCUAUUUUCAGGGGCGACCAGCCCACAUACUCACACGGUCUAUUUUCAUGGGCGACCUGCCUACACACUUACAUUGAUCUAUUUUCACGGGCGACCUACCCACACAUGGUGGUCUGUUUUCAGGGGCGACUAACCACACACUCACACUGGUCUAUUUUCAUGGGCGACCUGCCCACACAUACUCACUUUGGUCUAUUUUCAAGGGCGACCUGCCCUUUUGAUUCGGUUUACCUAAGAUCCCAUCUGGCAAUUUAGAACCAAAAUCUGUGUGGUUGGGCUAAAUUGAGAUGCCUUCUGGCGAUUCCCUUUAACCAGAACCAAAAUCUGUGUUCUUCCUGUUGGCAAGGUUUGAACUUGCUUUUUUUCUUAUUGUUUUUUUUUUGAAAAUUUCCUAAUGGUAGGGUUCUUCUCAUUUUUCUUCCCGUUCCAAGGUCACAACAAUGAUUCUCUUUUAUUAUAAGCUCAAUGAUUCUUUAUUCUUUUUUUUUCUUUUUUUCUUUCAAUCUUGCUGGACUUUUUUUUUGAGGAUUUUCCUGUAACGAAUAAAAAUAUGUGUGCAAUGCUUUGAGGUUAGAUGACAUGCAUGCAUCCUUACCUGAUUUGAAAUAUAGGUCCCCCCCUUUUGAUGUUCCAUCAUCAUAGGGUGCCUUUGUUUGCUAACCAAAGCCUUCUUUGCUCUUUCCAUGUACUGGCCCGUUCAUGUGCUAGUCAUCCACUCCACUGUAAAUGCAAUGCCUAUCCUAGGUUGUCUUCGAUGAUUACCGGUUUCACUGUUUAUCAAGCUUGACAAUGCCCCCCAAGUGUGGUGUUGCUUAAUUCAUCAUGAAGGAGCUUAACAAAUCAUUCAUCUCCUGGAUUCUCUUGAGAAUCGUUCUUUGAUUAGCUGUGUAAAUCCUACCAGCACUCCUCAAGAGGUUUUCUAGUGUCGCCCUCAUCUUAGAUUGCUAAUCAGCCAUUGACUUGCCUCCAGUGCUCGUUCAUCUGAUUAUCUUUCUUUGAACACCAUUGUCCUCAGUUUCACUAAUUCAUCAUUUAGUCAUUUUUUUUAUUGCCCCUAGCUGAUCUGAAUACUAGUUUUCCUUCUCAAAGUCCACUGUAUUGCCCCCGGCUACUCAACUUUUCAAGAAGUAUCGAGAAGUAUUGAUGUCACUUCUGUUAAGGAUUUUGCAAACUCGAUUGAUGCUCUUCUUGUUUGACAAUCUUUUGUUCGGGAAUCAACUCUCAAUAUUUCAAAGAUCAUGUCUAUUUAAAGUCUAAUUUUUGAAAUGAAAUUAAAGAGAUGUCAGUUUCUUUUUAAGUAUUUUUUAAAUUCAAGCUUCUUUGGUCAAAGGCCCAACACACGUCAUUCAAUACAUGUAGUCCUUUGAUUAUCUUAUAUUUUGAAAACAAAAAUUGACCCGUCAAAAGAUUAAAAUGGCUUUUUCCAUGGUUCUUUGUGUAAAUUUUAAUAUCUGAUCUUGGGUAUAUCUUUUGAUGGUUUGUGAUGAGGUGACCUUCUGUGAAUUUCAAGAAACAAGAUGCUCAAGUCAGAACUCGAGCUUUUAUCAAGAAAGGUGGUUUUUUUUUAGCAUUUAUUUUUUUAGCAUGCAUUACAAGUAGCUUAAUCCAUGAAACCACGACCCUCAUGAAAAAACUCUUCAAGCUUUGAGAGCGCCAUUUAUCGGUUCAAAUUGCUUACUUGAUCGAAAAGGGCUUUUAAAAGCACGUAAUGUAGGCUAUGGUUAAUGGCUAUGAAAGAAAGGAAUUUUACAGGCUCAAAAGGAGUUUAAAGGUUUCAAAAACCUAGGAUCAACAUCAACUAUUCAUCAUUUCUCUCUUUAUCUUGUUGUCUUUAUAGAGAAAACGACAUAUAACCUUAUUGACCUCAAAUAUCAGAAUUCUCUUAACAUAUGUCAUAAUGCAAAUCUAACUUUUUCUUUGAUGAAUAACCAAUCUCAAUCAUCUGAUAACAUCAAGAGCUUUAUCAUGGAUUCAAAAGUCAUGUUUGUAGCCUAGUAUUUUUUUUUGGUAUCGACUUUUGACAUUUGUUGUGAAACUUCUUUUAUCUUUCCUAGACUCAAUAAGCAUUUUCCUUCCUUUAUCUUUGACCUGUCUUUAAGUGUAGGCAAUUUUCAUGGUUUUUUUUAUAUAUAUAUGGCUUUCACAUAGCCUUUCUCACAGUUUUUUAAUAUGCCCCCAGUCUAGGUCUUCUUUCUUUUAGCUCUCUCUUAAACAUUGGACUUUUGUUCUAAGCCUUCCCUUUCACUUUUGUCUUCUCUUAUUUGCCCCCAGUGUGGGGUGUGAUCCUAGUCAGAAUAUUCUAUCAGGUUCAAAAUGGGAUUGCAAAGGAUAAAUAUCUUUAGAAAGUGAUGGGAUAUCAAAGAUGACCUUUUCUCAUUUCAAGCAAGGUCGAUUAGAACUGAUAAAUUUUAACCUCAUCUAGUGUAGUGAUUUGGACUUGUAAGAAUCAUUAUUCACAAGUCCAUAACUACCGAAUCCACUACGUGUCAUUAUGCAUACUGCUAAAACUUAGCUACAUGGUGGGUGAUUCAGUUUCAUGUGAGCUCAAAAUUUGUUUGGGCACCCCAUAUCAUUUUAACAAGCAUCGAGUCAUUUUUGCAAUCAAAAUACUUUUAAUCUUUCAGGAUUGAUUAGCCUUAAUUGCAUGUUGAGUUCGAUCAAAAUAUUUUUCCAAAAUAAACUUUGAAAGAAACAUCUCGUUAUUUUGAAACAACAAAGAGACAAAUAAAAAGACAUGUUUCGUUAAAAAGAUGAGAUGUGAUCCCAAAACAAAAUGCAAAAUAGCAAAAUUCCAAUAUAAUUGACAAUUCAUUGCCAUUCUUAGAUUAGCUUUUCUGACAAUAUAUGUGUUUUGCCAAACAUUUUUAAUCACUUGUCAUUCUAAAGAUGUUCGGGGGAUAAUAUAGCCAAUGACAUCACCUUUCACACACUCAACUUGCCUCUUGUUCAUCCACCUUCAUAGUCAUCUUUCAUUAUUAUUCUGGAAUUCAUAGCAGAACCUUCAAUCUUUCCCCUCUUCAUAGCUUGUUCAAUUCUUUUAGCAAUCCUCACGACUUUAUGGAAAUGUUGAGCUGAGCUUCCUAUUAAAUGCUCAUAAUAAGGGGAUUGAAAGGUGUUGGCAAACAACAUCACCGUUUCUGUAUCUAUUAGUGGAGGUUGAACAUAUGUUGCCUUAUCUCACCAUCUUUGCGUGUAUGUCCUCACAGACUGUUGGUUUUCCUUCUCCAUAACCAUUAGAAUGGUUCUGUUAGGAGCAAUUUCCAGAUUAAAUUUAUACUGCUUCAAAAAGGCGUCUACCAAGUCUUUCCAUGUCUUGAUCUUAAUAUUGUCUAGUCUCAUGUACCAACUCAGAGCAGAUUCGGUGAGACUAUCUUGGAAAAAGUAUAUCAGCAUCCUAUCAUCAUAAAUCACCUCGGCCAUUUUAUUGCAUUAAGAUCGAAGGUGAGUGUUUGGACAUUCUAAUCCAGUGUAUUUGAUGAACUUUGGUAUCCUAAAGUUCUUUGGUACUGUCGUACCCUCUCGAGAGCUCGACGUCGAGGCGACCCUUCCUGGUAGCAGGGAUUGAUGUCGGGGUCUUUGUUUUGUGAAAAAAGGAGUCGCCACCUAGUAUUAUGGUCACUAGGAAACCUAACUGGUCUUUCAGAGAUUCUAAGGCAAAUGACUGGUUGCGUAAAGGGAAGGUUUUAGCACCCCUAGUACGCCCUACCUAAGAUAAGCUGCUUGGUGUUUGGUUUGCCUAUAAUUUCUAUGGUGUUGAUGUUCUCUAAUCCUGUCAGUUUCCUAUGAUAAGUCUGCUAUGAUGAACGAACUUGGGUUUAAAGUCUAAGGGAAAGAACCUUUGGCCAAUAUGGAUUAUACCUUUAGAUAUGUUUGUAGAGUGCCAAAGAGAAACGAUGCAAAUCUCUUGAAGUCUAUGCUUGAUUUGAAAUAAAUUUAGAAUUUAUUAAUUUAGAGACAACUAAAAUAGAAAUCUAAGGAGAUUCAAUGUGCUUAAGAGCUCAUUUUCCCCUUAGUAUUUCAAGUAGUCGCGACUCGUAAAUCGCAAGGAAGAGAAAAGAAAAAAAACUAAGUUAGAAAUCUAAGAAAAUUCAAGGUGCUUCAAAAGCCUAUUUUUGCCUUAGUAUUUCAUAUUUUCAUGACUCGGAAUCAAAAUUUGAAAUGUCCUCAAUUAUAAUUGAGGCUUCUUUCAAGGAUAUGUAAUUAAAUUGUUCUAAAUAAAAUUUUAGGCAUAAAUCUGCCCUUAUGUUAAAAAUAAACAAGUUGUAUUCCUAUUAACAAUAUUUUGGACAUUUUCCUUUCAUAGGUUUAUUUGCCCUUAUAUUAUUAAGGGAUAAUGACUUGUUAUUCCUAGAAAAAUAUUUUUGAUAUUUAUCACUUGUGGUUUCUUUAUCCAAAUAUUAACAGUGAACAAUGGCGAAUUAUUCCCAAUAAAAUUUUGAAUAUUAACCCCUUUAAGAUUUCUUUAUCCAAACAUUUGUAAUGAAUAAUAACAAAUUAUUCCUAAUAAUAUUUUGGAUAUUAACCCCUUUUGGAUUUCUUUAUCCAAAUAUUAAUAGUGAAUAAUAACAAAUUAUUCCUAAUAAUAUUUUGGAUAUUUAUCCUAUUUUAGAUUUCUUUAUCCAAACAUUAAUAGUGAAUAAAGAUGAAUUCCCAAAAAUAAGAUUUUUAUAUUUUUGGAAUAUUGGCCAACACCCUUUGGAAUUUACAAACACGUUGUAAAAUUCAAGAUGCAAGAAAAUAAUUUUUAUGUUUAAAAAAUCCAUGUUAAAACAUAUUUUUUUGAAACCUCGAAUAUUUGCUUUUUUGAAUUUUUUUUUUAAUAUGUUAGGGUAUUGGCCGUAUACAACACACGAGGAAAAUUUUAUGUUUCUUCAAAACACAAACAACACAGUUAAAUCAAGUAUCACAAUUAAAAAAACAAGCCGUACACAUCUAUAUUUCAAAAUUCAUUGGAAGCUUAAAACAAUUCAAAUCAAGCAAAGCCUGAUAUAGCAACUUAAAAUUGAAUCCUGAAUAUAAGUCUGUCCGUUAGUCUUAAAAGAGAAACACCGAUCCGCAUGCACAAAAAAACAAAGUUGAACUCAAAGCCUUACACAGAAACAGAAACAGCAACCGGGUCUAGCGCCUAUCAUCUUUUCCUAAUCUUUGACGUUGCCAUGCUAGUUUCAUGCAAGAGGCAAGAAACCUGGGAAGCAUGCCUCUAUACCCCGUAUAUUCAAAACUGAACUAGAUAAUAAAAAACAACUGGCCUACUAAAUCACCUUCAAAGAAAGAAAGAGAAAAACGACCAACACAGAAACUGCCUAAAAGAACCCCUCAAUUGCAGAGGAACCCCUCUUGCGUUUUUCUUUAUAGAUAAACUAAAUCUAUGUGGAAGGCAUUCCUAAUACACAUCCCAGUCAAAGAGGCACUGAGCCGAGGAGGGGAAGGAUGGUGAAGGCCUUUAAAACUCACGGUCCCUCAUGGCAAAAGAACCAGAAAAGAAAUAUGCAGCUUUAACCAAGGUUGUUAAAAUCGCGAUUUUAACACGGCACGGAAAGCUGCACACAAACUCGGAUCGUAAAAACGGAUCGUAAAAUCGUAAAAUCGUAAGGAAUUUUAAAAUACAUUAAAAAAAAAUUCAUACUUCAAAUAAAAAUUCAUACAUUUAUCAAUCACCUUAAAAAAAAAAAAAGGAAACACGCCGUUAAUGAUUAAUCCACAAGCAAAUUACUAUUUAAAUAUCUUCCUAAUUGUAGAAUAAUAACAAAGUCUGUAUUUUUUUCUCAAAAUACACACCACUCCAUCACCACCAGAAAUCACAGUCUUCCUGUCACUAACCCACAAAACUCUCAAUACAUAUACUAAGCAAAAAGCCAAACUAAACCAAACCAUCUUUAGAACUCCCAAAAGAAACCCUCUCCCAUCCUGCCGUUUCCCUUCCUUCCCACAAUCCCUCCUCCCAGUUACCAAAGUAGGCAUGGCCUCGGGCUCACUUGCUUUCCUGCAGAUCGCCAAGAACAAUGUCAUCAAAGAAAUCCCAUCUCCCAACGCCUGAUGAACCCUUAAAAUAGCACACUUUUGCUCCAACAAGACAUGGAUUUCCCAUGAAGGCUUGUUUAUGUUCAGUGGAAUACUAACUGAUAAAUCGGCUAAAUAGGCAGUCGGUGAGAGACCCAUUCACAGAGACACAGACCCAUCAAAAAAUAAGAAUUCAAGCAGUCGAUGAGAGACCCAUGAGAGACCCAUUCACAGACUUGUUUUCGGUGAGCAACCCAUUCACAUACCCAUCAAUUCUUAAAAAUUCAAACAGUUGUGUAAAUACUGGGAUUCGGUGAGAGACCCAUGACACAGGGGACAUGGACAUGUCUGUAAUUUGACAAAUAAAUUACUCUAGACUCUAAAUCAUGAUGCUAUUUGCAGAAGGUGCAAAAAGAUAAAGAGAAUAACUUACUAUGGCUGGUGGAGACUGGUCACUGGAGAGCCGGUUGUUGCCUGUUGGUGGUGGACCGAUGGUUGAUUGCUGGAACUUGGACGGCUGAGAGAAGGAGAACAAGGAUUUAGUGACUUAGGGAUUUUGAUUUUUUCCGGUUCUGUGUUGUUAACAUGUGUGAAAGACUGAAAAAAGAUGAAGAAAGAUGAAGAAUUGAAGAUUGUGGUUUUGUUCUGCGUGUGGGUCACACGGUGUGACUCACAGUGUACCGUGUAUUGACUCAAUAGGCCAAUACUUGCUUGGCACGUGGAGCUGGGGGAACAGUGGCGCAACAUUUUCUGUUUUGGCACAGACGCGUAAAAUCGUGGGUAAAAUCGCGGGUAAAAUCGCGUUUUUGCGCGAUUUUACCCGAUUUUAACGAUUUUACUCGAUUUUGACCCGAUUUUACCUAUUUCCGAGUUUUGUGAACGAUUUAGCACGUUUAGCCUAUAUUGACUCGUAAAAUCAUACGAUUUUACGAGUUGAAUCGCGAUUUUAACAACCUUGGCUUUAACAUAAGCAAAAGGAAACCAACUCAGAGCUAUGGAUGGAACAAUGGGUAAACAUACCAUCUUUUGUCCCAACAGAAAACAAACGUCUAGAGCAAAGGAAACAAACAGUUCUGAAGCAUAAGAAAACACAUAUGCACAGGUUUGAAUAUAGAAGGAAAAACAAGGGGGGGGGGGACCUGCGUGUUUGCCCUUGAUGACCCGAAGAAAACCUUCCUCCUUUACCAUUAGGAACUUUUUUUAAAAUUCUUUUUCGGCAGGGUAGAAAUAGUUUGAAGUUAACCCCCCCUCCCCUUUCGUUGUUUCCUUCUAUUUUCUACUCAAACUUCUUCUUGUUCUCUCGGUUCUCUAUUUUCCCUUUCCCUUCUGUUUUCCCCUUUUCCUCUGUCCCUAUCUUUUCUCUACUUGUUUUAAUUCGCUCCGUCUCCCUCUACUCUCUGCUUUAUCUCUCUGUUUUUCCUCUCUCAGCCUUCCCUCUCUUUUGUGUCUCUGCACUCUCUUUUCUUUCUUCCCUACUGUUUUCUUUCCCUCUCCCUCUUUUCGUUUUUUCUCCCUCCAUUCGCUCACUUAACAACUUGCUUAUAUAACCAAGCAAGAAAUUUGGAGACCAGCCCCACCCCCUCUCAUCCUAGCCGUAUGUAUUAGGGAUAAAAUCCCAGCCCUUAGAUAGUGUGAGGCUCCCCUCUUUGUCUUCUUUCACAGCUAGUUGUGAACGUACAGAGCCAUUCCCUUGCUGAAUCCGUUUUCGUUGCAGCUGCAGAACUGACGAUGCAAACGGGAAUAUCUUGAGCUUCUGAUAUCGAAAUCAAGCAAUUCAAAAACCAAAAUUCAUCUACGCGUAUAAGACUAUAACUUUCAUGAAGGAUUAAGAAUGAGAUAAAUUCAUUUUGAAUUACAGAAACUGGCUGCAACCUGGUUGGUAAAAAAGGAUCUCCUGAUCUAAUUCAGGAAACUGACGAUGCCAAGCAUCCUACUUUGACUGAGAGUCUGCCAUAAGAAUAGCAAGCCCUAGGACCCAAUAAAGGUGUAGGUAAAUUCUUCAACAUGUCAUGAGUGACAGAAUAUAGCCGGGAUGGUCGGAUAUUACACGAAACCAAAUCAGAAUCAAAGCCUUAGUUGGAAGAAAAAAUUGCGACAACAGCAGAAUCAGUUUUUUAGUACAACUUCUAAGGGAUUUAUCCAACCUUAGAGACCAGAUAAAAAAGGAAUGAAUUUAUCAUUUUAAAGACUCCUAAUUAGCUUAAGAAUCCUGACAAUUUCGAAAGCAAAGGGAAAGGAUAAGGAGAGCAAAUGCCAGCUGAAACAUGGUUCUAAAAACAUUUCCUUCUCCUUUGUUUUUGUCAAUCUCUUAGCAACCUUGAACUAAACUCCUGCCUUCAAUUUAAAGGGGAUAUACACCAUCUCCAUUAGCACGUAUGGCUAAAAAAAAAAAGAGUAACAACAGGUACUAUGAUGUUUGGUACCAAACACACUUCAGCUGCUUGCAUGAGAUCAAACCAAUCAUUACCCUCAACUGCUCUUAAUCUUUCUUUCAAAGCAGAUAGCUUGUCGUAGUUCAUAAAAUCAGUGGAUCUAUUGCCAAAUACGCCCCAAAUACACCCUACCUAAAGUAGGCUGCAUUGUUUUAUUGUCUGAUAAAAUCUAAGGUCCUGUCGUGUUUUCUAGUUGUUGGUCGUCUACGGUUAAAGAAAAGUCAUUCUCGGUAAGGAUAUCCUUAUCUUAUCGAGUAAAACCUAAUUGUUCUGACGUCAACAAAAAAAUUUAAUAUCCAGAAUACAUCGUACGUAUAAGGUCGUAACCCCAGAUAUUAAAAGAAAACAAAAUAUUUUUUUUGGAAUUUUUGAAAUAUUGGCCUACUUCUCGUGACUUUAAUAAAAUGGUUAUUAAAGCCAAAAUGCAUGCUAAUAUAUAUUUUUGAAAUUUUCUUUGUUAUAUAAAAAUACAAUAUGAUUUUUUUUAGAGACUUGGCCGUAUGCAUGAAAACAAAACAUUUUAUUUUAUUUUUAUUUUUUUAUUAUUUUAUUUUUACGAAAACCAAGUAUUUUAAUACUGGAUUUGUAUCUUUACAGUAUAAAAAUACAAACUAAUAUUUUAAAAUGCAAUAAAAAAUUUGCGGAAAAUCACAUGUUUUUGAAAAGAAUUUUUUUUUCGGGCUGGGUUCAACCUGGCCUAUGUUGCUGGGCUGGACCUAGCCACCUGGUCACUGGCCCAAGCCAGUGACCCACCCAAGCGCGUAAAAUUUUACGCGUGCAUAGAACAGUGCAAAGGUAAUUAAAUUACCUUCGCACUGUUCAUUCUUCGUUUUUGCAGAUAGCAAAGGACAAAGACCCCAGGUGCAAAAAUGGUGAUCUUUAAGCUUUUCUUUCGUCUUCUGUUUUCCUUUUGUUUCUAUAGACAAGCAUGCAUCAAUUUUUACGAAGAAAGGAAAUGAGCAUACCUGGAGAAAGGAAACCGAUGGUGGUGCUGACCUCCCCUGCUGUCUGUGAGCUUUGCUCCGCCGCUCGGUUUCUCCUUGCGCUUCUGUUUCUGUCUCUUCGUGCAGCCUUCCUUUGCGUUUCAAUCUCCUAGUUUUGAGAAGACGAAGACGAUGGUGGUGCUGUGUUCUCUGCUUCACCGAGUCCUCUGCUUCCGUUCGGUUUGCUUCUUUUUCUCCUUCCUCUUUCUCUCCCUUAUGCUUUCUCACUAUUUCUCCAUUCCCUCACUUUUUUAACAAUCUCCUAAGCUGUCUCCCUCCUGUUUUUUCUCCUCACCGUCACCUCUCCUCUCUCGUUUCUUUUCUCUCCUUUUUUUUUGUCCCCUGGUGUUCGGCUCCUCCUCUGGCUUUCAUAGCGAGAGGACGCAGGCGUUUAUGGUAAGCCGGUGUGCAUCACGGUGGCGAGGGAUGUCAGCCGCGAUACGCGCCCCUUGAUUUGAAAAUGGCUCCAUUAUCACUGCUAACAUCUCCUGCCUUAACUGUCAUAGACUCACAUAUGUUGAAGACAAUGAAUAGCGCUUCAAUGUAAACGGCGCCGUUUGGAUUCUUCUGAUUUGGUCAUUGAAGUUUUUGCAAUUUUGUAAUCAAACCCCCGACAAAAUUGUAUUUGGAUCCCUUAAUUUUGGUGCCUUUUUUGGUUUGGUCCUAGGUUUCGGAUUGUGUCAAUUAAGUCCCUAAUUGGCCAUCAAACUUCAAUAAUUAUGCAAUUAAACUCCUGAUUUGACCAAAUCAACUCUUGAAAAUUAUAAUUGGACCUCAGAACUUUAAUUUCUUCCAAUAAAACCCUAAAUUGACUUAAAAAUCAAUUUUUCUUGCAAUCAAACCCUCCAUGAAUUCAAUUAAAUCUUAGAUAAAAUUUAAUUGAGUCCAUUAACAUCUGAUUUUGAAUAUAUUUUUUUCAAAAUUGAAUUUUCUUUGUCAACAGGACUCUCAUCACUUAAUGAUAAACUGUCAAAUUUCAACCUUUUGCAUUUUUGAACCUCUUCAACCAAUUUUUGGCUAUUUUUCAGCAUUUCAGCAUCCUUUUUUCGCUCCUAUUAUUUUUUUGGAUUUCUUCCGAAUAUAUAUAUCUAUUUUUUAUAUAUAUAUUUUUCAUUUUUGUUUGGGAACCCAAAAAUGGGUAACAACAAAGAUCAUGGAUUGGGGUGAAAAAACAUUGAGAAAUAAGAGAAUACCACUGGUCAGAGUGUUAUGGAGGAACUCACAAAUAGAGGGGGGGGAGAAUUUUAUAUUUUUCCUUCAUCAAAUCUAAGAAUAAACACCCAAAUUAGUAUACCCGCACAAGCCUUGGAAUUAUUAAGUGGAGGAAACACAUUUGGGUGGAGAAUUAACAAGAAGAAAAGUGAAGAAUUGGUGAAGAAAAGAGGGAGAAGAGUGGCCGGCUAUAUGCAAGGAGAAGAAGGCUAAGAUUCUUUUUAAAUUUUGUGAAGUAAAGCUUAGUUUUCAUCCAAAUAAGGAGUUCUAAUUUCAAUUUCUAUGAAAUUAACUUCAAUUUGAUUGGAAGUUUCAUAAUUUUCUUGAAUUGAGAAUUAGGGUUCUUGAACAUAAAAUUUAGGGAAAAUGCAAAAUUUCUUGAAACUAUACCUAUUAGGGUGAUAGUAAUGGCCUUGAAUGUGGAGGGGCGCAAUGGAAGGAAAAAAAGAAGAAGAAAGAACAUAUUUAAGGACCGGCCACUAGAGGGGAAGAAAAACAGAGGAGGAGAGCUUUUGACUUCCUUGUUAAUUAAUUGAGAUCUGUUGUUAUAAUGUAGUUACUAAUUAUAACUUGUAAGGAAGAUGAACCUUUGUUCCUUUGGGUAGGUUCGGCCAAAGUAGAAAUCAACUAAUUAACUUAUUAUAAAUGACCUUGGGAGGUCAUAACGAGACAGGUUACCAUGCAUAAGGUGAAGGCAUGGCUGUAUCUGAUGAGGAAGUAAGAUUGGAGAUAAAAUUGGAAAUACUUGUCCAUUGAUGAAAACAGGGCAGGUUCGUUGCCUUGAUUCAUGAGGAAUUCAACAUGAGANNNNNNNNNNNNNNNNNNNNNNNNNNNNNNNNNNNNNNNNNNNNNNNNNNNNNNNNNNNNNNNNNNNNNNNNNNNNNNNNNNNNNNNNNNNNNNNNNNNNUGAAGGGAGGUCGAGCUAUCAGCCCUGCUAGCAGAUUCGGCCAAUCGAUAAAACGACGAAAUUUAGCCAUAUUAAGAGUAUAAUUCAUUUUCUUGCCCUUCGUAAAGUGUGUAACAUCGUGUCUUGAUCUUCAAAAAGGAAUAAAUUGUGAUCAAAAUUGAAUUCAUGAUGUCCACUUGGGCUACGAAUGAGUUGAAAAUGUUAAAGGAUAAUAAUAAGGAAUGUAGGUGAGAAAGAAAAGAAUGGUAAAAGAGAAAUGAAUAUCAUUGCCAUUGUUGCUGUUGUGUUGUGACAUGUGGACUAAUAUGGAAUAAUGAUGGGUGUCUGUGGUUUCAGGAGGAACCGCGGGAGGAGUGCAGCAACAACAGGGGAACGCAAGUCGAGCGUCUACAACAGGUAGGUACUCGGUACCUAUAUCUCCUCUAGUUAAUAAUUGUUAUAACUAUUUGUUGAACUAUAAAUUUUGGUGCUUAUUGAUGAGGAAAAGAAAAGGGGAAAAGGAAAGGUUAAACAAUAGGAAAAUGGAAACGAAGAACUAGAUUUAAUUUAUGGGUUCUUUCGGAGAAAAUGGACAGUAACAAUGAACUUUAGGAAUGACUGUUCGGUGAAUUUGAUUAGGCUGUCCUAGAUACGAGAGGCUAAUGAUGUUAGCCAAGUUGGCUAACAUCGGCAUGACCGGUACAUGGGAGGAGGAAUAUAGAACUUGAUUAACUAUUUGGGUUCAAAAUGGUUAAUGAUAUCGGCAGGUGACGUCGAUGUCGGUAAAAUUUAUGGGACUUGAUUAGCUUUCCGAGGUGAAAGCUAAUGAUGUCAAGAAUCCUUGACAUCAACAUACCCGAGGACCUCCCAAGGUAACAUGGAACAUUGAUUAACUAUUUAGGCCCGAAAAUAGUUAAUGACACCAAUGGUUACGUUAGUGUCGGCAAUUUCAUAAACUUGAUUAGUUGACCGCGGGGCGGGCAACUAAAGACACUAAUAAGGGUCAUUAGUGUCGGCAGUAGUCUUCCCAAUGUGGGGAGAAGUGGUAGGGUGAAUACCCUAAAUCAAAGCUUGGAUUUCAUAAAGAAAAAAAGAAAAAGAAAAAGGGAAACAUAGUUAAAGGAAACAAAUUUGCUAAUCCUUAAAAAGGGCUAGUUGUGGUGUAUAAAAUUGCAUAUGACUUAAGUAGGUAGAUGUGUUGUAUGAUUUUUCUUCCGUGAAAUUGUUUGUAUCUUAUUUUUUUAAUUAUAUGAAAAAAUUAUGUUUUGCAGGUCCCUCUCAUUCACGCCAGGAAUAUAAUUUAGGUUCCUUGAUCCCUUUUUCUAUAAGUUAGGAACUUAGAGAUUAUUCAUGUAAUUUUGUUAUGCAGUAAACAUGUAAUCUCUAUAGAAUAAUAUACUCAUAUUAUUUUGUUUUUGAAGUAUUAAAUGUAUCAAUCUAUGCUUGAGAUAUUAUAAUGUACUAGCUUAUGUUUAGAAUGCUAAACUGUGUUGUUUAUAUAUAUAUAUAUAUAUAUAUAUAUAUAUAUAUAUAUGAAAUUUCAAUGUUCGAAUGGUUCUCUUAAUUAUUAACUUAUGCAUGUGAUAUGAGAUGGAGAUUGAGCUUGUAGAUUUGUCCUGAGUAUAUUCUUGAAUGAAUUAAAUGGUUGAUUGUACCAAUUAUAGAUGUGAUUAUGGAUGGGAUGUGAUUAUAAAUGUGUGUAGGGUAAAUUGUCGAUAACUUGGGACUUCCUGGUAUAGGGGAGCUGCCGAAAUUUCAUUAGAAAUUUCAGUGAACUCAAUGAAAUUUUAUUUUUUUUACUCCGUUUAUCCUUUAUGUGAAAGAUAAACUAAUUUAAUAAUUGGGGUUGUUAUAUUUCAAGUCCAAGUGCUUUAAGUUUGGCAUGUUUGCUUAACAAAAAACAAUAAAUUUAAUAGGAGAUAAAAGGUAUAAUCAUAAGAAAAAUAAAAGGUGAAAAGUGUAUGGUUUUCAAAACACAUGGACAGUGUAGUGAGUCUAAUGACACUAAAAAUAGAGGAUGGUGGGAAUAAUUAACGCUAGUUAAUUUAAUCGUUAUUUCUGUCAAGUUAUAAAAAUAUUUUAAAAAUGGAUAAUGUUAGAGAUAAUCUUGAGAUGUCUUCCUAGUGUGAUCAAAUAUUGGAUCUUGUCAUUUGAAGUCUUGAAUAAUUUGCCUUUGUAUCCUUUUAUGUGCAGGCACCCCACAAGGUGUUGGCCCUGUUGUGCAGAUCUUAUCGAUGUGCACUUCAAUGUUGAGAAAAGCAAAAGGCCUGGAAGUUGCUGAGCAUCCUCACAUCCCAUCUAGUGGCACGAAACAUCAGUAAAGGGGCGUUUGAUGCUAGGAUUUUUAAGAUUAUACGGAGAAAGUGAUUCGAGAGGUCAAGUAUUUUUAUGUUUGGUUGAAUUCUUGGGAAUCUCUAAUGCCCUAGGACGCUGGAAAUGUGAUUCUCUUCUAAAAUAAGCAGAGUUUGAGAUGUCAGCUUUCAACUUUUUGACUUAUUAAAUGCAUCCAAACUUUAUGUUAAAUUGCCUAGCAUGUUUUAUGUUUUUUCUACUCCAAUAAUAACCCAGUUUAGGUAACUAGUUUAUAUUAAUUUUCUAUGAAAUCACAAUAUAUAUGUAAUGUAAUGUGUUGAUAAAUAUAUUAUUCUACUUGAUAGCUAUAAUUUUAUAAAAUUAAAUUAUCUAUUGAAUUUACUUUAAUGUUUUAGUUUUAGACUUGAGUAACGUGAUCAGCAUUAAGAAAGACAAUUAAAUAUCUUAUGAUUAAAUUAUAUAAUUUAAUUUUCAAAGAUAAAAUGAUAAAUUUACUCAUAUUCUCCACAUUUUUUUCUAUUUAACUGAACACAAAUACAUUGAUUAAAAUUUUUAUUUUAAAUUAAAUAGAAAUAUCAUAUUCUCAACAAUCACAUCUUCCAAAAACAUUAAACUCAACUAGUCCUAAGUUGAUAAAUCACUAGUUUAAUGCCGGCUUUUGGGUUUUUUGGUUUUUUUUAUUAAUAUGGGUGUUCGAGUCAGCUUGCGCGUACCUCGACAAAUCUCACGGGUCUUAAAGUUAACGACCACGUAAGCUUUUAGUGAUUCUGAAAGGACUCGUGACUAUUAAAAAAUAAAUCCAAAGCUACCCUUAUGGAUUUCAGUAUUUAUAACAAUGGAUGAAAGUCCUUGCAAUUACUUGAAGGCACUCUAGUUAAUGUGCCUUUAUUUUCGGCACCUAAAAAGCUAAAAUGCAAGUGCAUAGAGUUUCAUGGGUGCAGUGUUCCACAGGUGAGCCUGAGUGAAUCAAUGCUGAAUAAAUGAUACAGAGAAUGAAAUGGCCCUGUGAGGAAAUAUGUCACAUCACAGCAUGCUUGUUCUUUGAGCAAUCAAUUCCUCGAGGCUACUCAAAGCACCAGUUAAAUGUUGGGCACGAAACAAUCACACACAUGAUUUAUUUUGAGUGCAUAUGGAAAUUACAGCAACCAUUACAGUAACUCACCACAAGAACAUCUCAUUCAAAUAAUCAAAACCCCACAGGAGCAUGCAAGCUUUGAACAUACGAAUGCACACACUUGAAUUCUUUAUCUCUUCAGCAAAGACAACAGGAAGGAAACCAAGCAAGCGAACUAGACUUUUGAAAGAAGUCGUAAAUGUGCUUACUGAUCUCUUCAGGUUUCUCUUCAUUGAUAAAAUGACCCACACCUUCCAUUACAACUAGGUCCUGUAGAAAUGGAACGUCUCUUUUGAACCCGCCCUUGGCUAUAUAAUCCUUGGCACCGAGAGAAUUAUAGGUGAGGUCCUGAUCACCCACGAUAAACUUGACUGGAACUUUUAUUUGAGCUCCAGUCCAUGGUGCGGUAAGUUCCCAGUUCC